Molecule: ribosomal RNA, 253 nt
Filed under: uncultured bacterium
Lineage: Bacteria
Description: partial 16S ribosomal RNA
Rfam family: Bacterial small subunit ribosomal RNA
Source: RNAcentral
UACGUAGGGGGCGAGCGUUGUCCGGAAUCAUUGGGCGUAAAGCGCGUGUAGGCGGCCCGGUAAGUCCGCUGUGAAAGUCCAGGGCUCAACCCUGGGAUGCCGGUGGAUACUGUCGGGCUCGAGUCCGGAAGAGGCGAGUGGAAUUCCUGGUGUAGCGGUGAAAUGCGCAGAUAUCAGGAGGAACACCAAUGGCGAAGGCAGCACUCUGGUACGUGACUGACGCUGAGACGCGAAAGCGUGGGGAGCAAACAGG